This is a long non-coding RNA of Vitis riparia (riverbank grape), 789 nucleotides long. RefSeq lists it as uncharacterized. The transcript is spliced from 3 exons. The record is from RefSeq and is a predicted model, not a curated record. NCBI's taxonomy places the organism in Eukaryota, Viridiplantae, Streptophyta, Magnoliopsida, Vitales, Vitaceae.
AAGCUGUGGACCAAACUGUUCUUCAUACAAUCCGUUGAAUGGUAAAAGUUUCUGGUGGAUGCUAGACUGGUUGGCAUCGACCAGCCGGUCAAACCCAGGUAGGUAAACUGCUCAUGACAAGGUCAAGGGAUAAAGAGAUUGUGUUAUUGUCGUUUCUUUUCUCAAAAUCAUGCUGUUCUUUUCAUAGUUUAUCCUAUUGUGCUCAUGACUUAUGUAACAGUAAAAAAUCCUGAUUCAUGGGGACAAGUGGUGAACAAUCAGUCUGGCUAUGACUGGUUGCUGUAUGAUUGACAAGAAACAAAUGUGGAAUUACGCAUUCUUACCUGGUGGCACAUUCUCAAGCUAGACCACUGGAUGAUGGUGGCUCCGUUUCCAACCAGUCCCAAAUAAAGAAAGGAGACACAAGUUCAUACUUAUGGUUGGUAAAGCCGGUUUGGCUGAGUAAGAACAGAGGCGGUUAGAAGUUGAAGGAAGACUGCACAUCUGAAUAUUUUAGUUGUGCAUAUGAACCCAGAGUCCAGUGGGUUGUUAAGGUCAGAUGAGACUGGGGAGGCCAAGAAAGUGCCAAAAUCAUUCAUCAGGGCAAUUAGCAGCAUACACAAGAUCAGAAAACGUGAUCUGGAUCAUUGGUAUUUGGUCAUUGGGAGCCAAAAAGAAAGUUGGUUAAGAAGGUGAAUUCCAUUUUUUGUGAUUGUUGGGUGGAGUGGUUCAAGGCCACCCUACCCAAAUUGUACUGUGCCAUUACAUAUUCUUGUGGUACAAACUUAACCAGUGUUGUUGGAGUGAAGU